This 765-nucleotide ribosomal RNA is filed under the name uncultured eukaryote. RNAcentral describes it as "SSU rRNA". It matches the Rfam family "Eukaryotic small subunit ribosomal RNA", at positions 613 to 1384 of the family's 1831-position model. The record is from RNAcentral.
UUGCAGUUAAACGCUCGUAGUCGGAUUUCGGGGCGAGCCUGCCGGUCUGCCGAUGGGUAUGCACUGGCAGGGUCGUCCUUCCUUCCGGAGACUGUCCCUACUCUUAACUGAGCGGGGUCGGGAGACGGAUCGUUUACUUUGAAAAAAUCAGAGUGUUUCAAGCAGGCAGCUCGCUCUUGCAUGGAUUAGCAUGGGAUAAUGAAAUAGGACUUUGGUGCUAUUUUGUUGGUUUCGAACACCGAAGUAAUGAUUAACAGGGACAGUCAGGGGCACUCGUAUUCCGCCGAGAGAGGUGAAAUUCUCAGACCAGCGGAAGACGAACCACUGCGAAAGCAUUUGCCAGGGAUGUUUUCACUGAUCAAGAACGAAAGUUAGGGGAUCGAAGACGAUCAGAUACCGUCGUAGUCUUAACCAUAAACCAUGCCGACUAGGGAUUGGAGGAUGUCCUUUUUUGACUCCUUCAGCACCUUACGGGAAACUAAAGUCUUUGGGUUCCGGGGGGAGUAUGGUCGCAAGGCUGAAACUUAAAGGAAUUGACGGAAGGGCACCACCAGGAGUGGAGCCUGCGGCUUAAUUUGACUCAACACGGGGAAACUUACCAGGUCCAGACAUUGUGAGGAUUGACAGAUUGAGAGCUCUUUCUUGAUUCGAUGGGUGGUGGUGCAUGGCCGUUCUUAGUUGGUGGAGUGAUUUGUCUGGUUAAUUCCGUUAACGAACGAGACCUUAGCCUAUUAAAUAGUGGCGCGAACACUUCGUUGGCGGUUC